AGUAACGCGUGGGUAACCUGCCUCAUACAGGGGGAUAGCAGCUGGAAACGGCUGGUAAUACCGCAUAAGCGCACGGUAUCGCAUGAUACGGUGUGAAAAACUCCGGUGGUAUGAGAUGGACCCGCGUCUGAUUAGCUGGUUGGUGAGGUAACGGCCCACCAAGGCGACGAUCAGUAGCCGACCUGAGAGGGUGACCGGCCACAUUGGGACUGAGACACGGCCCAG
Molecule: ribosomal RNA, 225 nt
Filed under: uncultured bacterium
Lineage: Bacteria
Description: partial 16S ribosomal RNA
Rfam family: Bacterial small subunit ribosomal RNA
Source: RNAcentral